CCUACGGGAGGCAGCAGUGAGGAAUAUUUGUCAAUGGACGCAAGUCUGAACCAGCCAUGCCGCGUGCAGGAUGACGGCUCUAUGAGUUGUACACUGCUUUUGUACGAGGGUAAACCCCGAUACGUGUAUCGUGUUGAACGUCUCGUACGAAUAAGGAUCGGCUAACUCCGUGCCAGCAGCCGCGGUAAUACGGAGGAUCCGAGCGUUAUCCGGAUUUAUUGGGUUUAAGGGGUGCGUAGGCGGUUUGAUAAGUUAGAGGUGAAAUGUCGGGGCUCAACCCCGAAACUGCCUCUAAUACUGUUGGACUAGAGAAUAGUUGCGGUAGGCGGAAUGUAUGGUGUAGCGGUGAAAUGCUUAGAGAUCAUACAGAACACCGAUUGCGAAGGCAGCUUACCAAACUAUAUCUGACGUUGAGGCACGAAAGCGUGGGUAGCAAACAGGAUUAGAUACCCUAGUAGUC
Molecule: ribosomal RNA, 460 nt
Filed under: uncultured bacterium
Lineage: Bacteria
Description: partial 16S ribosomal RNA
Rfam family: Bacterial small subunit ribosomal RNA
Source: RNAcentral